This 440-nucleotide ribosomal RNA is filed under the name uncultured bacterium. RNAcentral's name for it is "partial 16S ribosomal RNA". It matches the Rfam family "Bacterial small subunit ribosomal RNA", at positions 338 to 795 of the family's 1533-position model. The record is from RNAcentral.
CCUACGGGAGGCAGCAGUAGGGAAUAUUGGUCAAUGGGGGAAACCCUGAAGCAGCAACGCCGCGUGGAGGAUGAAGGUUUUAGGAUUGUAAACUCCUUUUGUGAGAGAAGUUAAUGACGGUAUGUCACGAAUAAGCACCGGCUAACUCCGUGCCAGCACCCGUGGCAAGGCGGAGGGUGCAAGCGUUAUUCGGAAUCACUGGGCGUAAAGCGGGCGCAGGUGGGUUUGUAAGUCAGGUGUGAAAUCCUGUAGUUUAACUACAGAACUGCCUUUGAAACUGUGAGUCUAGAGUGUUGGAGAGGUAGGUGGAAUUCGUGGUGUAGGGGUGAAAUCCGUAGAUAUCAAGAGGAAUACUCAUUGCGAAGGCGGCCUACUGGAACAUUACUGACGCUCAUGCACGAAAGCGUGGGGAGCAAACAGGAUUAGAUACCCCAGUAGUC